UAUAGUAUAUGAUGUCAAAAUCAAAUAAAUUGUUAUCAUUAUUUAUUAAUUUAAUGUAUGAUAUUGUUGAGGUUGACUGAUAGAGGAACCAGUGGAUAAAUUUGUAAUAGAAAAAUAUUUUGAAAUAAGUACAAGUACAGGCAUAGUGUAUGAGGUCAAAAUCAAGUAAAUUGUUAUCAUUAUUUAUUAAUUUAAUGUGUGAUAUUAUUGAGGUUGACUGAUGGAGGAACCAGUGGAUUAAUUUAUAAUAGAAAAAUGUAUUGAAAUAAGUACAAGUGCAGGUAUAG
RNAcentral lists this unclassified non-coding RNA (287 nucleotides) under Bombus terrestris (buff-tailed bumblebee). Its description in RNAcentral is "misc RNA ENSBTSG00005039007.1". Lineage: Eukaryota; Metazoa; Arthropoda; Insecta; Hymenoptera; Apidae. The record is from RNAcentral.